CGUGGAGACAGGUGGUGCAUGGCUGUCGUCAGCUCGUGUCGUGAGCUGUUGGGUUAAGUCCCGCAACGAGCGCAACCCUCACCCCUUGUUGCCAUCAGGUCACGCUGGGCACUCUAGGGGAACUGCCCCGGUCAACGGGGAGGAAGGUGGGGACGACGUCAAGUCAUCAUGCCCCUUACGCCCUGGGCUACACACGUGCUACAAUGGCCGGUACAAAGGGAUGCAAGACCGUGAGGUGGAGCUAAACCCAAAAAGCCGGUCUAAGUUCAGAUUGGAGUCUGCAACUCGACUCCAUGAAGGAGGAAUCGCUAGUAAUCGUGGAUCAGCAUGCCACGGUGAAUACGUUCCCGGGCCUUGUACACACCGCCCGUCACACCACGAAAGUCUGCUGUACUCGAAGUCGCUGAG
Molecule: ribosomal RNA, 408 nt
Filed under: uncultured Methylomirabilota bacterium
Lineage: Bacteria; Methylomirabilota (SeqCode)
Description: bacterial SSU rRNA
Rfam family: Bacterial small subunit ribosomal RNA
Source: RNAcentral